CUGUGACCCACGAUGCACGCCCCCCACGCACGCUCCCACCCACGACCGUAGCUGCCCCACCCACGACUCCUCAUUCCUUCUCCCCCGAGCUCCCUCCCCUGUCCUUCUCCUUGAGCAGUAGCAUAUAGCAAGCCGCUGGCCAGCGCUCUCCUCUGUCCUUCUCCUUGAGCAGUAGCAUAGCAAGCCGCUGGCCAGCUCCCUCCUCUCUCCUCCUCAGAGCAGUCGCAUCUCGCCGGCCAACACCAGCCUGCCCGUCCGGUGCUCCCAAGCAGCCGCACGCUGAUCCCAGCACCCGCCCGUCGCCGAGCAGCGGCACGCCGCGGCCAGCGCCUGCGUGCCCGUCCGUCCGCCGCGGCCAGCGCCUGCGUGCCCGUCCGUCCUCCGCGUCCAGCGCAUCUCCAUCGUCGUCACAGCGUGAAGCUCCGCCACCUCGCGAGUUCGUCCUCACCCUCCGGCCGAGCACACCCCAGCUCCUCCGGCCGCGCACCCGAGCCCGUCGACAACGCGAGCUCCUCCUCACCCGCCAGCUGGGCGCUCCGCCUCGCGAGCUCCGCCGGUCACGCACCGCUCAUCCCCGAACUCGCUCGUGUGCCUCCCCGUGGCGCCGAAGCGAAUCAGCUCCCGAGGGCGGCUGGGCCGGACGGCAGCGCGGCUAAGCAGGGCCUGGCGGCGGCGCGACGAGCAGGCCGGGCGGCGCCGCGGCGGGGGUUGGGCUGGAUGGCGGGGCGAGCAGGGUACUACAGUGGAGAAGAAGGGCCGGAUUGCUUUUUAGUUUUAUGUUUUAGGGUCCUUUGUGUUAAUUGCUAGCUCUAUUUUGUAACUUUAGUUCUCUCGGGGUCCUGUUUGCAUUUUGUACUCCACUAAUGUUCGUUUUUGGUGGGAUGUACUGCACUAAUGUUGAAUGAAAGGCACUUGGCACGGCUGGGCCUUUCCCUGUUAAAACGAAGAAGAAAGAUUAGAUAGGGCAUUCGUAUGCGUUGACCACAUCGCUCGGGAGCAGCGCUGCUGUUCUUUUUUUAAUUUU
RNAcentral lists this ribosomal RNA (1024 nucleotides) under Triticum aestivum (bread wheat). RNAcentral's name for it is "partial small subunit ribosomal RNA". Lineage: Eukaryota; Viridiplantae; Streptophyta; Magnoliopsida; Poales; Poaceae. The record is from RNAcentral.